UUCCUCCCGCACUGGCGCUAUCUUUGAGUUCUCUCAUCUCUGCGGAUUCAGUGUUAAGUUUUAAAAUGUCCAAAUUUGUCAAUUAAUUUUUUUUAAAUAUAUGUGAUAGUGCAUGAAGUAUCAGCCAAAUUUCGUUAGUUGUAGGUUUUGUUGUCGCGCUGUUAUGAACACACUCGUGUAGGUUGGACCGCGGAAUUUAAAAAAGAAAUAAAUGAACAGACGUUGGUAGUGUUAAGUGUACUGUGAGACCAUAUUUUAAGCCUUAUUAAAAAAAAUAACAUUAUCUGUUAACUUAGGCUUUUCUUGGUGCUCACAACGUUCUCUCUUUCUUUACCGUAGGUUACUCCCACAGCAUCUUUUUGCGGCUGUGAGUAAAAGCAGGAGGAAUUAUGAUAAUGACGGUCUUUACUACAUCAACGGUCCCAGGAAGUAAACUGUUGCCUAAAUCUGUGUUUGUCUAAGUCCAAGAAAAGAAAUUUACGUUGGAGACAAUAACUUGCGUCAUCGUUUACUUUUGGGUAUUUUUUCACACUUCACUCUUCUAACGGAUGUCCCCAUCCUUAUGAAGUUGCGAGAGGCCCUGGAUAAGAACUACAACACCAUCCUAAAGUUCCUCCAAGGGUCAACUACCAAGGAGUGAAAGAUGUUUUGACUACUUUUGAACCAGAGGCAUCAGAUAAGACUGCAAUUGUUCUACUUCUUCUGAUGGCUUACUUCAAAGAGCCAAAGGAUUCCAUUGUACUUGAUGUUGAUGUGACACAUUGAAGCCGAGGGCAUGGAUGCUAUCGCUGGAGGGUCAAGUGGUCAUGGGACCUCACCCUGACUUUACAACUGGUCUGGUGGCCACUUUUGCCAGCUACUAUAAUUUUAAUUUAAAGUAUGCUGACAGUGGUUCUUGCACUCUGGAAUUUAUUCAAAGGACAUGGCAUCAGAGGUGAAGGAUAUUCUGGCAAUACAAGACCCAAACCUGGUGAUCAGCAAAGUCUUUAAACUGUGUAUUACACAGGGUGACUUGGCCACACUGAAGGAGGGUUGCUGGCUUAAUGACAAAGUAAAAGUUAGAAAAAUAAAUGUACUAUUUACUUGAUAUGCCUUGGUUUAUUGGGAAUAGUGCAUCACUAAAUUUUUGUAAAGAAAAUGGGGGAAUAAAGGUUUGUCCUCAAUAUUUUAUAAAAAUUUGUAUAAAAAUGAAUAAGUUGAUUCUGCACUGCACAUUAGGGCUGGGUAUUGACACAAAUUUAACAACCAAUUCGAUGCCAAUAGUAUCAGGUAAUCACACAAUUGUUGAUCAUAAAGCACUAAUGCUGAUGUCACCAAUGUCAUGCAUUCUUAAUGAGUAUUUUUCCACCUCUUCUCUUUUCAAGGUUAUCAACUUUUUGUCCUUGCUAAUAGGGCUGCACGAUUUGGGGAAAAUGUCAUUUUGCGAUUAUUGAGGUCAAUAUUACGAUUGCAAUAGGCGAUUGCGAUAUAAUAAACAAAUGGUAUCAUGAGUCAA
Molecule: long non-coding RNA, 1495 nt
Organism: Tachysurus fulvidraco (yellow catfish)
Lineage: Eukaryota; Metazoa; Chordata; Actinopteri; Siluriformes; Bagridae
Exons: 5
Source: RefSeq, a predicted model, not a curated record